GUGCAGCCAGGGGCUUCCGGCCGCGGCCCCGGCGAGUGGUCUGCGCGCGCCCGGCCGUGCGUGCGGAUGCGGGGAGGCUGCGUGUGUGCGCAGGGCGAGAGCGCAGGCCACCUUCCCGCUUCCCAGCUGGGUGCGCGCCGAGCACAGGAGGGUGCAAUCCGUGCCUUGCGUCGCCCGUGUCGCUCCAGCCACCGUCAAAUCCGGGUAGCGACGCGGGGCGUUUACAGCGGUGCCGAGGAAGAGGACGGAAACGGUGUUACGAUUGCCUGCGUUUAGGAGGUAGCUGCAUUGUGGGAAAAGCUAUCAAGGAAGAAAUUGCCAAAUCGUGUUUUUUUGUUUUCAGAGUAGUUCACAACAGAUCUGAGUUUUAAUUAAAGCAUGGAAUACAGAAAACUACAAAAAACUUAAGCUUUAAUUUCAUCUGGAAUUCCACAGUUUUCUUAGCUCCCUGGACCCGGUUGACCUGUUGGCUCUUCCCGCUGGCUGCUCUAUCACGUGGUGCUCUCGGACUACUCACCCCGAGUGUAAAGAACCUUCAGCUCACGUGCU
This 549-nucleotide small RNA is filed under the name Pongo abelii (Sumatran orangutan). RNAcentral's name for it is "processed transcript". Lineage: Eukaryota; Metazoa; Chordata; Mammalia; Primates; Hominidae. The record is from RNAcentral.